Molecule: ribosomal RNA, 526 nt
Filed under: uncultured bacterium
Lineage: Bacteria
Description: bacterial SSU rRNA
Rfam family: Bacterial small subunit ribosomal RNA
Source: RNAcentral
AGAGUUUGAUCAUGGCUCAGAACGAACGCUGGCGGCGUGGAUAAGACAUGCAAGUCGAACGCUGAUUUUCCGGUAGUAAUAUUGGGAAAUUGGAGUGGCGAAAGGGUGCGUAACACGUGAGAACCUACCCGGAAGUGGAGCAUAGCCUCGCGAAAGCGAGGAUAAUUCUGCAUAUGUUGGAGACGACAAAGGGGGCCGCAAGGCUCCCGCUUUCGGAGGGGCUCGCGGCCUAUCAGCUAGUUGGCGGGGUAACGGCCCACCAAGGCGAUGACGGGUAGCUGGUUUGAGAGAACGACCAGCCACACUGGAACUGAGACACGGUCCAGACACCUACGGGUGGCAGCAGUCGAGGAGUUUUCACAAUGGGGGCAACCCUGAUGGAGCGACGCCGCGUGGAGGAUGAAGGUGUUCGGAUUGUAAACUCCUGUCACUCCAGAACAAAGGGCAUGCGCCUAAUAUGCGCGUGUUUUGAGGGUAUGGAGGGAGGAAGAGACGGCUAACUCUGUGCCAGCCGCCGCGGUAAUAC